AUUGAACGCUGGCGGCAGGCCUAACACAUGCCAGUCGAGCGGAUGAAGGGAGCUUGCUCCUGGAUUCAGCGGCGGACGGGUGAGUAAUGCCUAGGAAUCUGCCUGGUAGUGGGGGAUAACGUCCGGAAACGGGCGCUAAUACCGCAUACGUCCUGAGGGAGAAAGUGGGGGAUCUUCGGACCUCACGCUAUCAGAUGAGCCUAGGUCGGAUUAGCUAGUUGGUGGGGUAAAGGCCUACCAAGGCGACGAUCCGUAACUGGUCUGAGAGGAUGAUCAGUCACACUGGAGCUGAGACACGGUCCAGACGACUACGGGAGGCAGCAGUGGGGAAUAUUGGACAAUGGGCGAAAGCCUGAUCCAGCCAUGCCGCGUGUGUGAAGAAGGUCUUCGGAUUGUAAAGCACUUUAAGUUGGGAGGAAGGGCAGUAAGUUAAGACCUUGCGGUUUUGACGUUACCAACAGAAUAAGCACCGGCUAACUUCGUG
This 484-nucleotide ribosomal RNA is filed under the name uncultured bacterium. RNAcentral's name for it is "partial 16S ribosomal RNA". It matches the Rfam family "Bacterial small subunit ribosomal RNA", at positions 30 to 507 of the family's 1533-position model. The record is from RNAcentral.